Molecule: ribosomal RNA, 580 nt
Filed under: Tomentella cf. coerulea src630
Lineage: Eukaryota; Fungi; Basidiomycota; Agaricomycetes; Thelephorales; Thelephoraceae
Description: eukaryotic LSU rRNA
Rfam family: 5.8S ribosomal RNA (bases 211-365)
Source: RNAcentral
AGGAUCAUUACUGAACCGUCGACACGAGUUGUUGCUGGUNNNCGAGAGGGGGCAUGUGCACGCUCUGUUUACACAUCCANNNNNNCCUGUGCACCCUCUGUAGUUCUGUGGCAUUGGGGACUCUGUCCUCUCGCCGUGGUCCUACGUCUUUACACACACACCGUAAUACAGUCUCAUGGAAUGUAUGUCGCGUUUAACGCAAUACAAUACAACUUUCAGCAACGGAUCUCUUGGCUCUCGCAUCGAUGAAGAACGCAGCGAAAUGCGAUAAGUAAUGUGAAUUGCAGAAUUCAGUGAAUCAUCGAAUCUUUGAACGCACCUUGCGCCCUUUGGCUAUUCCGAAGGGCAUGCCUGUUUGAGUAUCAUGAACACCUCAACUCUCAUGGCCUGCCAUGAUGAGCUUGGAUUUUGGGGGUCUUGCUGGCCUGACCGCCGGCUCCUCUCAAACGAAUCAGCUUGCCAGUGUUUGGUGGNAUCACAGGUGUGAUAACUAUCUACGCUUGUGGUUCUCCACCAGGUAACCUUCAGCAAUGGAGGUUCGCUGGAGCUCACAGACGUCUCUCCUCAGGGGGGACAGCUU